GUGGCGAACGGGUGAGUAGCACGUGAGUAACCUGCCCUUGACUCUGGGAUAAUCGUUGGAAACGACGUCUAAUACCGGAUACGAGCUAGGACCGCAUGGUCACUAGCUGGAAAGAACUUCGGUCAAGGAUGGACUCGCGGCCUAUCAGCUAGUUGGUGAGGUAACGGCUCACCAAGGCGACGACGGGUAGCCGGCCUGAGAGGGUGACCGGCCACACUGGGACUGAGACACGGCCCAGACUCCUACGGGAGGCAGCAGUGGGGAAUAUUGCACAAUGGGCGCAAGCCUGAUGCAGCAACGCCGCGUGAGGGACGACGGCCUUCGGGUUGUAAACCUCUUUUAGCAGGGAAGAAGCGCAAGUGACGGUACCUGCAGAAAAAGCACCGGCUAACUACGUGCCAGCAGCCGCGGUAAUACGUAGGGUGCAAGCGUUGUCCGGAAUUAUUGGGCGUAAAGAGCUCGUAGGCGGUCUGUCGCGUCUGCUGUGAAAACCCGAGGCUCAACCUCGGGCCUGCAGUGGGUACGGGCAGACUAGAGUGCGGUAGGGGAGAUUGGAAUUCCUGGUGUAGCGGUGGAAUGCGCAGAUAUCAGGAGGAACACCGAUGGCGAAGGCAGAUCUCUGGGCCGUAACUGACGCUGAGGAGCGAAAGCGUGGGGAGCGAACAGGAUUAGAUACCCUGGUAGUCCAC
Molecule: ribosomal RNA, 689 nt
Filed under: uncultured Actinobacteridae bacterium
Lineage: Bacteria; Bacillati; Actinomycetota; Actinomycetes
Description: bacterial SSU rRNA
Rfam family: Bacterial small subunit ribosomal RNA
Source: RNAcentral